GACGAACGCUGGCGGCGUGCUUAACACAUGCAAGUCGAACGCGCCUGUCCUCUGGGUUUCUGGGGGGUGGGUGAGUGGCGACCGGGUGAGUAACACGUGAGUAACCUGCCCCCUUCUUCGGGAUAACGGUCUGAAAGGGCUGCUAAUACCGGGUAUUCACUGGUCUCCGCAUGGGGUCUGGUGGAAAGGUUUUUUUCUGGUGGGGGAUGGGCUCGCGGCCUAUCAGCUUGUUGGUGGGGUGAUGGCCCACCAAGGCUUUGACGGGUAGCCGGCCUGAGAGGGUGACCGGUCACAUUGGGACUGAGAUACGGCCCAGACUCCUACGGGAGGCAGCAGUGGGGAAUAUUGCACAAUGGGCGCAAGCCUGAUGCAGCGACGCCGCGUGAGGGAUGGAGGCCUUCGGGUUGUGAACCUCUUUCGCCCGUGGUCAAGCCGCGACGUGGGUCGUGGUGAGGGUAGUGGGUAAAGAAGCGCCGGCUAACUACGUG
This 488-nucleotide ribosomal RNA is filed under the name uncultured bacterium. Its description in RNAcentral is "partial 16S ribosomal RNA". It matches the Rfam family "Bacterial small subunit ribosomal RNA", at positions 28 to 507 of the family's 1533-position model. The record is from RNAcentral.